This 463-nucleotide ribosomal RNA is filed under the name uncultured bacterium. RNAcentral describes it as "partial 16S ribosomal RNA". It matches the Rfam family "Bacterial small subunit ribosomal RNA", at positions 28 to 507 of the family's 1533-position model. The record is from RNAcentral.
GAUGAACGCUGACAGAAUGCUUAACACAUGCAAGUCUUUGGCGAAGCUGUGCUUGCACAGCCUAGCCAAGGCGGACGGGUGAGUAACGCGUAAGGAACUUGCCCUGCAGUCAGGGAUAACAGACGGAAACGACUGAUAAGACCUGGUAAAGUCAGGCGGACUCAUGUCCAGCCUGAUGAAAAGAGAUGCUGCAGGAGAGCCUUGCGUCCUAUUAGCUUGUUGGUGGGGUAACGGCCCACCAAGGCGAUGAUAGGUAGCCGGCCUGAGAGGGUGGACGGCCACAAGGGGACUGAGAUACGGCCCUUACUACUACGGGAGGCAGCAGUGGGGAAUAUUGGACAAUGGGGGCAACCCUGAUCCAGCAAUUCUGUGUGCAAGAUGAAGGUUUUCGGAUUGUAAAGUGCUUUCAGCAGGGAAGAAAAAAAUGACGGUACCUGCAGAAGAAGCGACGGCUAAAUACGUG